AAAAACUUCCCUCUUACGCCUAUUCGUUUCCCUCUCCAAGAAAAUCAGAAAAACAAAGAAACCCCUAAACCCUUUGUCAUUCCAUGAUUCGAUAGUUGAAUCAGUGAUUCCGUCGUCGUAGUUGUUGUAGUUGUCGUAGUUGCCGUCCAACUUUCUCCCAAGCUUUUGUCCCUCAUCUCGCUCAUCUUCCCUAAACGCUCUACGAAGGUUCAUAUGGCGAGGUAUACCAGCUAACUGGAAUGGCAUAGGUGCAGGGCAAUGGAUCGAUAAAGUCACUCAAUUACUGCUACCUACCUACGUCCACAUUUUGACCUUGAAGUGUUCCUAAUACACCUUUGGAUGCAAGAGGAUCUUCUGGUGUUAGCAACCCUUAGUUUGCUUAUGGUGUAUAUUGGAUUUAAAGUUUAGUACAAGACUAAUAUUACUUUGUUAUGGAUUUUAUGUAAUACUUUGAUUUACAAUAGAAAAUUAAAUUGUAAAUCUUUGAACUAUACGCUAUUAUUUUGGUUAUUGGAAAUAUGAUUUCUAUGUCUA
This is a long non-coding RNA of Cajanus cajan (pigeon pea), 534 nucleotides long. RefSeq lists it as uncharacterized. NCBI's taxonomy places the organism in Eukaryota, Viridiplantae, Streptophyta, Magnoliopsida, Fabales, Fabaceae. The record is from RefSeq and is a predicted model, not a curated record.